GAUGAACGCUGGCGGCGUGCCUAAUACAUGCAAGUCGAGCGAACGGACGAGAAGCUUGCUUCUCUGAUGUUAGCGGCGGACGGGUGAGUAACACGUGGAUAACCUACCUAUAAGACUGGGAUAACUUCGGGAAACCGGAGCUAAUACCGGAUAAUAUUUUGAACCGCAUGGUUCAAAAGUGAAAGACGGUCUUGCUGUCACUUAUAGAUGGAUCCGCGCUGCAUUAGCUAGUUGGUAAGGUAACGGCUUACCAAGGCAACGAUGCAUAGCCGACCUGAGAGGGUGAUCGGCCACACUGGAACGGAGACACGGUCCAGACUCCUACGGGAGGCAGCAGUAGGGAAUCUGCCGCAAUGGGCGAAAGCCUGACGGAGCAGCGCCGCGUGAGUGAUGAAGGUCUUCGGAGCGUAAAACUCUGUUAUUAGGGAAGAACAUAUGUGUAAGGAACUGUGCACAUCUUGACGGUACCUAAUCAGAAAGCCACGGCUAACUACGUG
Molecule: ribosomal RNA, 497 nt
Filed under: uncultured bacterium
Lineage: Bacteria
Description: partial 16S ribosomal RNA
Rfam family: Bacterial small subunit ribosomal RNA
Source: RNAcentral